Molecule: ribosomal RNA, 797 nt
Filed under: Bacillus safensis
Lineage: Bacteria; Bacillati; Bacillota; Bacilli; Caryophanales; Bacillaceae
Description: bacterial SSU rRNA
Rfam family: Bacterial small subunit ribosomal RNA
Source: RNAcentral
CGAGCGGACAGAAGGGAGCUUGCUCCCGGAUGUUAGCGGCGGACGGGUGAGUAACACGUGGGUAACCUGCCUGUAAGACUGGGAUAACUCCGGGAAACCGGAGCUAAUACCGGAUAGUUCCUUGAACCGCAUGGUUCAAGGAUGAAAGACGGUUUCGGCUGUCACUUACAGAUGGACCCGCGGCGCAUUAGCUAGUUGGUGAGGUAACGGCUCACCAAGGCGACGAUGCGUAGCCGACCUGAGAGGGUGAUCGGCCACACUGGGACUGAGACACGGCCCAGACUCCUACGGGAGGCAGCAGUAGGGAAUCUUCCGCAAUGGACGAAAGUCUGACGGAGCAACGCCGCGUGAGUGAUGAAGGUUUUCGGAUCGUAAAGCUCUGUUGUUAGGGAAGAACAAGUGCAAGAGUAACUGCUUGCACCUUGACGGUACCUAACCAGAAAGCCACGGCUAACUACGUGCCAGCAGCCGCGGUAAUACGUAGGUGGCAAGCGUUGUCCGGAAUUAUUGGGCGUAAAGGGCUCGCAGGCGGUUUCUUAAGUCUGAUGUGAAAGCCCCCGGCUCAACCGGGGAGGGUCAUUGGAAACUGGGAAACUUGAGUGCAGAAGAGGAGAGUGGAAUUCCACGUGUAGCGGUGAAAUGCGUAGAGAUGUGGAGGAACACCAGUGGCGAAGGCGACUCUCUGGUCUGUAACUGACGCUGAGGAGCGAAAGCGUGGGGAGCGAACAGGAUUAGAUACCCUUGUAGUCCACGCCGUAACGAUGAGUGCUAAGUGUUAGGGGGUUUCCCGCCCCCUU